This is a long non-coding RNA of Cyprinus carpio (common carp), 343 nucleotides long. RefSeq lists it as uncharacterized. Lineage: Eukaryota; Metazoa; Chordata; Actinopteri; Cypriniformes; Cyprinidae. The record is from RefSeq and is a predicted model, not a curated record.
CAAAAUGGAAGUCAAAUAAAAGUACAAAUAUGCUACCUUCACCAGCUGGAUCAAGGGAUUCCAGAAAUAUCCUCUUCAGACUUUUUGAGGUAACAUGAAUGAGAACUGUACUUUACCUGGGGUGAGAAGAGGAGGAUGGGAUGUGAACCAUGGGUCUGCUAUCAAGGAAGUAAAAAUGAAAUGCUGCAGUAAGCAGAGACGCCAAGUUCUGUCAGGCCAAUUCUGAGCUGAAUGGAGAUCCAUCUGAGAAACAUGGGCUGCUGCUGGUACACGGGCACUGGUCAUACUACCGCAUCUGCAUCCUUCUGCGCUACUUCCUCUACAAAACCACUGCUUUAUCUGG